AGCACGAAAGAGAAUGACAAAUGAUUAGAUAUGAAACAAAAUAAAGCAUAAAACAUUCCAAAGAUAAGGGAAGGUUUUUCAAUGUACAUUUGAAGCAGACAACCAUUACUACAUUACAAUUUUAAGCCAUUAACUUUUUUUUUUUUAUACAAACUUUGGACAAAUUACUGCACCAACACAAUUUCCUAAAGCUCUUUUCGAUUCAUGGAGGGACAGAAGAACUGAAUUGCACAACCUACAGGACUGAAUUGUAGAAUAUUGUAUUUAAAUCGAUCAAUACGCAUCCUUCAAGUAUGUCAAGACCAAAAAAACUAAUAAAAAUAAAGGAGGAUUCUGGCCGCAGGUACGAGGAUUUAUAACAGGAUUUUACAGACACAGCACGAGCCGUCCAAUAGAUCGCCUCCCAAGCGUUUUCCAGAUCCAUUCAACAAGCACGGUUUGAAUGAGGGUUAAGGCAACACUGCAAACCGGGCUUCUGCCUUAACCGAGAGACAUUCGACUUCAGUAAAUCCCUAAGAUGUGAUAAUACUGUACAUUCAGCUAGCCCUUCGUCUCCGGCCGUAUUUCACUCGUGUACAGAACGCAAACACACUUGCAGCUGAGUGAAUAAAUAAAUAAAUAAAUAACUCUUCUUAAGCAAAUCUCUUGUGCGAAAAAGCGUUGAACGAAUGGUAAAGUCGAGAAGGCAUUCUUGUGGCAUACACAGACUCAAAAGCAAGUCUUCAAGUUCAAGUCUGCUUGCCGAGGAAGAAAAAAAACAGCAAGGUAUGUCAGGUAUCUGUACAUAUUUACAAAUUAUUGCCAUACGAGAGUGUGUAAAGUAAAACUUGGGAAAGCUGGAAAAACAGGCAAACGAGGUCCGAAAUGAUCCGUUUCAUCUGUAAGCGAUUCUCGAUGCAUAGAUAAACGUCAGAUCAGUGCUUGCAGCAAACGAACGCCGUGCCAGAAAAAUCAUUUACAACGUUGCAUAAUCGGUCACUGAAGGGAACAGACGGGUAAACCUGCGGCUUGGUUCUGUUCCCGUGGCGAGAAAUCCCUGCAAAACGGUUUUUCAAUAAAUAGUGAUCUCAAAAUAUCGAAAUGAACAAAAACUAAGAAAAACACGAACACAUGUGCCAGUAUCUCACAACCAUUUCGGGAAACAAAAACAACCAUGAUGCAGUCCAAUGGUCUUCAUUGCAAUAAAUACGCCAAACGCCGACUGCUAAAGCAAGAGGAACACUAAUAAAUAUGCGUAGAAGUAGGAAAAAAACAUUUUAAUCACACACGUCGUAAUACCUCUAUUGUAUUUAGAGCCUUUUAUAUUUGCUAGAACCACUUUCAAUUGUUCGUAGGUUUGUUUUUGCAGUCCGUCAACAUAGAAAAUAUCCCAGGGCUGAACUUCUUCCAGGUUCUUGUGCAAAAAAUGGUGCGUAACGAAACGAAGAAGGGGUCGUAGAUGCCGUUCAGACGAAGGCUGAGCUGUAAACACUGAUGGGAACCACAGAGGAGAGGCUGAGCUGACAGCCAGUCGUCAUGAUGGCUUAGUAAAACCCCUUGCCCUCGGGCCAAGUAUGCGAGUUCAGUUUUCCACAGUAUUCGGACGUAGACAACGUUUAUAUGACACUUCCAAAAAAUUCAAGACUGGAAAAUAAAUGGCUGUAUUAACUCUUGAGAAAUCAAGAUUUAGGUCUGUACAAUUAGACAUCACUGAUGUCAUAGUAAAAAAAAAAAAAAAAGAUCU
Molecule: long non-coding RNA, 1723 nt
Organism: Sinocyclocheilus grahami
Lineage: Eukaryota; Metazoa; Chordata; Actinopteri; Cypriniformes; Cyprinidae
Exons: 3
Source: RefSeq, a predicted model, not a curated record